UUCAGUAAAAAGCAAGUCCGUAAGUACGAAGCAUCAGAGGUUCCCCAAGCAGUUAACCCUUCGGGUAUCCCUAGACGUUUGUGUCGAUUCAAUUCCUUGGCGGAGUGUUUGACCCCCAGUGGAGCUUCUUUUUUUAUCCCCAACUGAGUUGGUUGAUUCAGAUACUUUGCGGCAUGUUCUUGUCCCCAACAGAGUUUCGG
This 200-nucleotide long non-coding RNA is filed under the name Lathyrus oleraceus (garden pea). RNAcentral's name for it is "Pisum sativum (pea) long non-coding RNA (PSAT_LNC014454)". Lineage: Eukaryota; Viridiplantae; Streptophyta; Magnoliopsida; Fabales; Fabaceae. The record is from RNAcentral.